Molecule: long non-coding RNA, 1283 nt
Filed under: Physcomitrium patens
Lineage: Eukaryota; Viridiplantae; Streptophyta; Bryopsida; Funariales; Funariaceae
Description: long non-coding RNA (PPAT_LNC010655)
Source: RNAcentral
CAGUGGGGGUGGGGUGGGGAUGUAGCAGCAGCAGCAGCAGGCAGUGGGGGCAUGUGUAACACGUGCAUAAAUUCCCAGCAGAUCCUACUUUCUUCUACUUCUUUUCUUCUUCUACAUGUUGGUGUUGUUGUUGUUUUCAUUCAUAUAUAUACAUACAUACAUACAUAUAUAUAUUCUCAUUUCAGUUGUUAUGUAAACUGGCUAUGUUGUCUUCAGAGAGAGGGCCUUGUUCAGUCUAUUUCUUCCAUGUUUAUAUUAUGACCUUGUUUAGGUUGGCAUCCCACACACCCCCCCCCCCUUUCCAUUCUCAGGUCACAUGGGUCAACAGAGCACGAGGAGUAUACAAGAAAGAGUAGUUGUGCUAUUAUAAGGUUUUGAUGGAAUAAAAUAUGGAAUUGGUUUUUUCCAGAAGCUUUUGACUUGAAUUGUGGGGUUUUGAAAGAUGGAAACCUGCGUGAGAAACUUUUCAUUAAAUUGUUUGACAGUUGCAUGCUUUUUGAAUUUUGGGGAUGGUUAGUGUGAUGAUUGAUUGCAGAUGUGGAUUUUUUUAUUCAUUUUAUUAAUUUCUUCAUACUCCAUAAUAAUAAUAAUAUUAAUAAUAAAUAUUAUUUUCAAUUACCACGAAUAUUAUUAUUAUAUAUCCACACAGAACAAGUACUCUUUUAAAAUGCAGAUACAGGAAAGAAUAACAGAUUUCAUCCAUUUUCAAAAUUUUAAAUACUUGCAGAAAAAAAAUAUUAUUAGUGAACAUCCAUUGUGCAGUGCAUGAGUGUGUGCAUGUUCCAACUUUGAUUUGAGCAGUGGUUUCAUGUGAUAUUUUGAUAUGUUACAUAUAAAAAAAAUAAUGAAAUAACAAACAGGAUCACGAAAAAGCCAACAUUCAUCACACAAAAUAGAGCAUUCAAACAAAACAUUACACAAUAAAUAAAGUGCCUGAUUCCUCAAACAUGAACAUAAUUUUGCAACUACCUUGUUAUAUAUAUAUAUAUAUAUAUAUAUAUAUAUAUGUAUAUAUAUAUACACAUAUUUACAUACUCAAAAAAUAUAGGUGUGGAGGCAAUAAGGGUGAUUACCAAGAACAAUAUGCAUGAUUUGUUUCAUGAGAGUCCCAAAGUUGAGGAUAAGCACAAUAAUAAGCACCUGCUUGUGUGACUCUUAAGUACACUCUUUUGUUCAACACCACAUACUGGAAAAGUAGAUUCUUUGAAAAUAUCUGAUGUUUAUCCCAACUGCUUUGUUUUAAAAUCCUUUCUCAAGCAUCUAACACCUUUUCUAAUGUGAAU